UUAGGUCGAUUUUGUAUGGAGUUGGAACGUCUGCCUAGGUUUGCCGCUAGGGGCGCUGAUCCAACUGCAUUAAAAUUUGAGUGA
Molecule: microRNA precursor, 84 nt
Filed under: Bombyx mori (domestic silkworm)
Lineage: Eukaryota; Metazoa; Arthropoda; Insecta; Lepidoptera; Bombycidae
Description: mir-2807 microRNA precursor family
Rfam family: mir-2807 microRNA precursor family
Source: Rfam by way of RNAcentral